RNAcentral lists this ribosomal RNA (494 nucleotides) under uncultured bacterium. RNAcentral's name for it is "partial 16S ribosomal RNA". It matches the Rfam family "Bacterial small subunit ribosomal RNA", at positions 28 to 523 of the family's 1533-position model. The record is from RNAcentral.
GAUGAACGCUGGCGGCGUGCUUAACACAUGCAAGUCGAACGGGAAACUUUUCAUUGAAGCUUCGGCAGAUUUGGUCUGUUUCUAGUGGCGGACGGGUGAGUAACGCGUGGGUAACCUGCCUUAUACAGGGGGAUAACAACCAGAAAUGGUUGCUAAUACCGCAUAAGCGCACAGGACCGCAUGGUCCGGUGUGAAAAACUCCGGUGGUAUAAGAUGGACCCGCGUUGGAUUCGCUAGUUGGCAGGGUAACGGCCUACCAAGGCGACGAUCCAUAGCCGGCCUGAGAGGGUGAACGGCCACAUUGGGACUGAGACACGGCCCAGACUCCUACGGGAGGCAGCAGUGGGGAAUAUUGCACAAUGGGGGAAACCCUGAUGCAGCGACGCCGCGUGAAGGAAGAAGUAUCUCGGUAUGUAAACUUCUAUCAGCAGGGAAGAUAGUGACGGUACCUGACUAAGAAGCCCCGGCUAACUACGUGCCAGCAGCCGCCGUAA